This 221-nucleotide long non-coding RNA is filed under the name Elaeis guineensis (African oil palm). Its description in RNAcentral is "long non-coding RNA (EGUI_LNC036705)". Lineage: Eukaryota; Viridiplantae; Streptophyta; Magnoliopsida; Arecales; Arecaceae. The record is from RNAcentral.
AAGGUGCUCCCUAAGAAGGCUUGAUCGUGGGAGAGAGAUCAGGAAGAGGAAGGAAAAGAGACAAGUCUUGCAGACAAUCAAAGUCUCAAAAGAGCAAAAGCAGGAAGGAAGCCAGGUGCUACUAGUGCAACGAGAUCGAACACUUUAAACGAGAUUGUCCGUAGUGGAAGAACAAGAAGGGAGAUAAGGGAGGAUCUGAUGCGUUGAAUAUGAUGGCUGAU